RNAcentral lists this ribosomal RNA (245 nucleotides) under uncultured bacterium. RNAcentral's name for it is "partial 16S ribosomal RNA". It matches the Rfam family "Bacterial small subunit ribosomal RNA", at positions 524 to 769 of the family's 1533-position model. The record is from RNAcentral.
UACGAAGGGGGCUAGCGUUGCUCGGAAUUACUGGGCGUAAAGCGCACGUAGGCGGCUUGUUAAGUCAGGGGUGAAAUCCUGGAGCUCAACUCCAGAACUGCCUUUGAUACUGGCGAGCUUGAGUUCGGGAGAGGUGAGUGGAACUGCGAGUGUAGAGGUGAAAUUCGUAGAUAUUGGGAAGAACACCAGUGGCGAAGGCGGCUACCUGGUCCGGUACUGACGCUGAGGUGCGAAAGCGUGGGAGC